CUAAAAAAUAACAACAAAUUGAUAAUUUUCAAUUUAUAAAGCUCACCUUCAGCUAUGUGAAAUCGAUUCUUGCUAAUCUACCUCCAAAAUUUGCACUAUUUGAUUUGUUCUUGGUUCGGGAAAGGGAACUUCAACAUGUAAUCAUUCAUUGUAAGAAAGAAUAAUGCAUAUGAAGAAGAAUAAAGUUGGAUUUUAAGGUGGGUUUAAUAUGGUGAAAAUGGAGUUGGAAACGAGAGAAAUGAAGGGGAUUUAGGGAUUUAUAUUUGGGGAUUUGGGUAAUAUUGAUCUCCAAAUUGGACAUUUUAGUGAUUUCAAUUUAACGGUAUUUAAGACUUUUAAUAUAUAAUCAAAUAAACUAUAGACUACUUAACCAAAAGUAUUGAUAUAAGCUAUUUUACCAAACAUUAUGAUUGACUAGGCUUCUUAAACAAAUCCCCCUUUUUUAUUUUUAGUAUUAUCAUUUUUUUCCGAGUCUUGUAGUUUCUAGAGAUCUCAGUUAAGUAAAGAAAUGUGCACGUCUUCAUUUUGAGUUUGGUGAGUUGCAUGGAAACGCAAUGGCAUUAAUGAUCUCAUGUUGAACCUACUUUUACUGAAUAAGAAAUUUGUGAUUUUUGUUUCCAUUGACAGUCAGUGUUAUCUAAGGGGAGCUUUAUGUUCCUACAUUGGAAUGGUGUUAGGUUUACAUGGAAGCUUAAAUGUCUGAAAUGGUUUCGCACUUCCAUUGAUUUGCUAAAUUUUGAAGAGUUUUCUUAUAGAGUCGGCGUAAAAUACUCUUGUCAUUUAUGUGGUAUUUAUGGAAGUGCGGCUUAAAGGCAACCGCCUAUCUUUUCUCACUGGAAUCAUGACACCCAUUUUUCGUUCUUUGAAGUGAUUCUCACGCCACAAGUUCCUAUUCUCCCUUCAAAAUGGACAAAAUAAGAAAUUUAUUUCUAAACUCACACUGUAGUUACAUAAGUGCCUGUUAUAUAUUGUUACCUAAAGUUCUCUGAUUUUUGUUAUUACAUACACUUGCAAUUACACAGUUGAAAUUUGGUUACCCGGUAUGGAAACUAAAUAUUUAUAUUUGUUUGUUUUUUGUUUUUCUGACCACUUUACAGUUAACAACUAACCUAAACUGUAACUUUUUGUGGUUAUUACCUGAAAAUCAUUCACAGUUUCUGUCUGAUGUUGUAAGAGGCCCGCUUGGUUAUUAAUAUUUGGAUCAUAUUGUUUUCUAUGUAGUGGCCCAGUAUUCUGGAAACGAGUCGACAUCAUGAGGCAUUUGGAUUUUAUACCCUGCUCCUAAGCCCUGUGGACUUGAGGCCUGACAAUAGGGACCUGCCAGCGUUCAACAAUCCCUUAACUUUUAUUGAUCAUUUAUGAUCUCUCUAGAGUGAGGUGGAUGAGCUAAAAACCAGCCCUCCUAGAGCUUGAAAUUGGGUUGGUCCAUUAAGGUCUUGCCAUAAUUUGAAGGAAGGAGAGUAGGAGGACAAUUUGCAUAUUGUAAAAUUCAUUCUUUGACAGGUCGAUGCUGCAGUUCUUCAGUACCAGAACCAGGUUGAUGCUACAGUUCUUCAGUACCAGAACCAGAAACUUGGUCAGCAAUCAGAAGUACAGAAGCAAUAGUUAUAUAUGUGAUCUUGAAGCCAAAAUUAUGGAAUUAAAGUGAAUCAACUUUGGAAUCCAGUAAUUCACAUACAGGACCUCUUUUAUUCGAAGAUUUAAUUUUACUUGGUGUGCGAGCUGGGGCAGGCAAAAGUGCCUUACAACACCUAGAUCAUGUUGAUUCUUCUUGAGAUACCGACUCUGUCCGUAGGUUCAAUUCCAUCAUGUCCUUUGGAGGAUAUAUUCCUCUGUAGACUACUACAAAGAAAUUCCAUUCCAAGGGAUGGAGCUAAUGGAUCAAUUAAUUACAUUAAAAAAGCUCUUGCAUCACGUCAGGCUUCUACACGGGGAUUAAUGAAAUUACUGGAAGAUGCUAUUGAUGCUUUAAGAGAUAAACUUGAGGACAUCGCUCAGGCUUUGCAGGGAAACCAAUCUGCAGAAGAUGUUAUCUUCCAAUUACAUAAGCUGAAUGAUUUAAUGAAAGAGGAGGCUGGUCAUUUGCACGAGGGAAUUGAUGUUCUUCAUUUGAAGCAUAAAAAUUCAGACUUGCUUCAAUAACCAUUCAGUGGAUCAAUCUGAGAUAAAGCGUCUUGCAGGUGAGCUAAAAGAAAGCAUAGCAGAGCUUGAAGAAAGCAGAAGAAAGUUGAUUAAUCAGAAAAUGCAGAAAAUCAGGGCAUCUGGGGUACAGGUUCCACCAGUUCCUGUUUUAGGUGUAGCGAAUGGACUAUGUCUCCUGAAAAGCCUUCAGAUACGUUUAAGCGGUUAAGGGAAUUAAAAAAUUCUAUUGAGGAAGUAAAGGGAGAAAAGAUGUUAAUGAGUUGUUCAAGGUAAUGGCAUCUGCUUUGUUGAAGGAAAUGGGAAUGAUGGAAGGCCGGGUGAAUCGGUGAAAGGGGACAGCUGAAGAGGUCGUGUCCUUGCACGAUAAAGCCCAGUCAUUGAAUUCUUUACCGGACAGAAAGAACUUGUCAAGGCAUGUGUAGUGAAGGUUCAUGAACUGUACGAGAACUGCUUUCAAAAGUUCAGCUGAACAAGUAUCAUCGCAUAUUUGUCUAGAAGCUAUCGAGUGGUGAUUUACCUGGAUUCCCGUGCCUUGUACUGAUUGAGAAAAUUCAGAAGGAAAAACAAGAGCUUGAAGUUUUUAUGAACAUGCUGGGUCAACAAAUAUAUGAUAAUAGAAAGAGGCUACGGAAAGAAGAAAAUUUGUCAGCAAAUGACAUCCAACAACAAAGGGUACCAUUAGGCGCAACUACAGGGUCCCGUCCAAGUCCGAAGAGGCUCGUCUUCAUAAGUCCAUUGCUUCUCUACUGUCAGAUGAUGAACACUUCAGAGAUGCUACAUCCCACAAGGGCUGUCAAAUUAGGAGGGAAAAUGCUCGUGGAGAAAGUGCAUGUUGCAACAAUGUCAGAGCUUUGUGCGAUGAGCUCCCAACACCACACUUGAUAAUCGAAAUCUCACCUUUUCCAGCUGGUCCUCUUAGUGACAACGAUUAUGCAAAGGCUGAGAAGCUUGAGAGUUCUCAGAUCCAGUCCUACUGUUUGAGCGUAUUUUGGAUAGCAACUGUAUGUAUGUGUCUUCUGAACGAGAACGAUUAUUCGAAGGCUGAGAAACUCGAGAGGAUGUUCACAUCUGGCCCUGAAUGAAUUUGACUUGAACUGCUACUGUAUCAGAUCUCAUGUACAUGUUACAAUGAAUGGAACUUUGCUGCAAUAAUCUUGGAUCAUCUGCGCAUCAAAUGCCUAAGAGUUUUAACCUCUCAAGAACUUGAAUUUGUAUAAUUGCAAAAAGGUAGAAUACAUUUGAGCUAAAAUUUUACAUGCACCCACAAAUGAAAUCUCAAGAACCAACGCACCUUUGUCU
Olea europaea var. sylvestris is the source of this 3441-nucleotide RNA transcript. RefSeq lists it as uncharacterized. Lineage: Eukaryota; Viridiplantae; Streptophyta; Magnoliopsida; Lamiales; Oleaceae. The record is from RefSeq and is a predicted model, not a curated record. The transcript is spliced from 12 exons.